GUCGAGAAUUUUUCUCAAUGGGGGAAACCCUGAAGGAGCGACGCCGCGUGGGGGAUGAAUGGCUUCGGCCCGUAAACCCCUGUCAUUUGCGAUCAAACCUUACGGCCAAAUACGCCGUAAGCUGAUAGUAGCGAAAGAGGAAGGGACGGCUAACUCUGUGCCAGCAGCCGCGGUAAUACAGAGGUCCCAAGCGUUGUUCGGAUUCACUGGGCGUAAAGGGUGCGUAGGCGGUCGGGUAAGUCUAACGUGAAAUCUCCGAGCCUAACUCGGAAACUGCGUCGGAUACUAUUCGGCUAGAGGAAUGGAGGGGAGACUGGAAUUCUCGGUGUAGCAGUGAAAUGCGUAGAUAUCGAGAGGAACACCAGUGGCGAAGGCGAGUCUCUGGACAUUUCCUGACGCUGAGGCACGAAAGCCAGGGGAGCAAACGGGAUUAGAAACCCGAGUAGUCC
Molecule: ribosomal RNA, 449 nt
Filed under: uncultured bacterium
Lineage: Bacteria
Description: bacterial SSU rRNA
Rfam family: Bacterial small subunit ribosomal RNA
Source: RNAcentral